Molecule: ribosomal RNA, 843 nt
Filed under: Tricholestes criniger (hairy-backed bulbul)
Lineage: Eukaryota; Metazoa; Chordata; Aves; Passeriformes; Pycnonotidae
Description: partial 12S ribosomal RNA
Rfam family: Bacterial small subunit ribosomal RNA
Source: RNAcentral
GCAAGUAUCCGCGUGCCAGUGAGUACGCCUCAGGUACCCUAAUCCUAGGUCGAUGAGAGCAGGCAUCAGGCACACCAUCCCCGUAGCCCAAGACGCCCAGCAUUUGCCACGCCCACACGGGUUAUCAGCAGUAGUUAAUAUUAAGCCAUGAGUGAAAACUUGACUUAGUCAUAGCAAUUUAGGGCCGGUAAAUCCUGUGCCAGCCACCGCGGUCAUACAGGAGGCCCAAAUCAACUUUACUAGACGGCGUAAAGUGUGGUAGCAUGUUAUCCAAGUAACUAAGAUUAAAAGGCAUCUGAGCUGUCAUAAGCCAAAGAUGCUCAUAAGGCCACUAUUCAAAGAAAAUCUUAGACUAACGAUCAAUUGAAAUCCACGAAAGCCAGGGCCCAAACUGGGAUUAGAUACCCCAUUAUGCCUGGCCGUAAACCUUGAUGCUCGAUCUAACCGGAGCAUCCGCCAGAGAACUACGAGCACUAACGCUUAAUACUCUAAGGACUUGGCGGUGUCCCAAACCCACCUAGAGGAGCCUGUUCUAUAAUCGAUGAUCCACGAUUCACCCUACCAUUCCUUGCCCCAAAUCAGCCUAUAUACCGCCGUCGCCAGCCCACCCACCGUGAAGGACCAAUAGUGGACGCAAUGGCCCUAUUUACGCCAGUACGACAGGUCAAGGUAUAGCCUAUGGAGUGGGAGUAAUGGGCUACAUUUUCUAGAAUAGAACACCACGGCAAAGGGAUAUGAAACUGUCUCUUGAAGGCGGAUUUAGCAGUAAAGAGGGAGCAUCGAGCCCUCUUUAAGCCGGCUCUGGGGCAUGUACAUACCGCCCGUCGCCCUCCUCAAAAGCGC